Molecule: long non-coding RNA, 484 nt
Organism: Mauremys mutica (yellowpond turtle)
Lineage: Eukaryota; Metazoa; Chordata; Testudines; Geoemydidae
Exons: 3
Source: RefSeq, a predicted model, not a curated record
CUGAGUGAUUGGUUAGCUGACUAGCUAACCAAGAUUUCAGCAGAGGAGGAGAAAGAGUCUGCAUGGAUUCCAGCUGAAAAUUUCUACAAGCAAAUGAAGGGAAGAUGUUGCUUUUGACUCAGCAGACUGUAGAGAUUUCGUGAUUAAAGACUCUAACUGAGAUUCAGGCGUUCGGUGCUUUUUUAAGUGUGGGCAGAGAUGCACUAAAAUGGAUUUCAAAGAGGAACGAAUUCCGCAGCGUUGAGGUCAUCAUCACAGCAAAGGGACGACUGCCUUUCAAAUGAGGGCCCAAUCCUGUGCUGCUUCACGCAAGACAACUUACAGAAACACAACUCAGCUUUCAUUUUCCACCUCAUCCCUUAAUCCCUCUGAAUUCUAUUGUGCUUAUCACUUCAUCAGAAAGCCUGAGAGGCUGAUUGGGCUGUGGAAAUUGUAUUUACGCUCUUCUCGAGGAAGCAUCUCUCCGUAUAUGAAUAAUAAAUCA